AUGACCAUCACGGCGAAGCGGUCGGAGCACGUGGACUUCACGAUGCCUUUCAUCGCCACGUCGAUCACCAUGAUUGUACCGCUACACGACCAACGGAGCAGCAACAAGUGGACGUGGGUCUUCCUCAAGCCGCUUCGCUAUGACCUCUGGCUCGUCAGCGCCGCCUUCUUCAUCUUCACCGGUUUCGUGGUCUGGGCCAUCGAGCGCCGUGACAAUGAGAGGUUCGGCGGGACGCAGUCGAGCCAAGCGGGCACCAUGCUCUACUUUGGCUUCUCCACCCUCGUCUUCACCCACAACGAGAAGGUUAAAAGCAACCUAUCGAGGCUGGUCGUGGUAGUGUGGGUCUUCGUGGUGCUCCUCCUGCAGUCCAGCUACACCGCCAGCCUCACCUCCCUGCUCACGGUGCCGCAGAUCGGGCCAACCAUCGUGGACUACCGCACGCUGUUGCUAGGCACGGAGAAGGUGGGGAUCCUCAACAACUCCUUGACACCGCAAGUCAUAAACCAGUCUGGGCUCCCGCAGGCGGAGAGCUUUCAAGAGGCACUGUUGAACGGCAGCAUCGGCACCGUCAUUGACGAGACGCCUUACCUCAACAUCUUCCUCCAGACCUACCGGGACAACUUCACCGUGACUGGCCAACCCAACAUGACCGGCGGCUUCGCGUUCGCGUUCCCCAGGGGGUCACCGUACGUGAAAGACAUGUCGCAGGCGAUCCUGAACCUCACCGAGAGCGGCGAGAUGAACAGGAUCGAGCGCAAGUGGCUCGGCGACCAGGAUGACCACAGGUCACAGGGCGGCGGACCGUUCACGACGAACCAUCUCAACUUCAGCAGCUUCCGAAGCCUGUUUGUCAUCACCGGCGCCACCUCGCUCAUUUGCCUCACCAUCCACCUUGCUUUCUUCCAUAAGGAGGGCUACUGGUUACCCCUCCCGCAGAUCAUGUCACGCCCGCCGUGGAAGGUCAGGCUCUUUUUUUGA
RNAcentral lists this ribosomal RNA (978 nucleotides) under Triticum aestivum (bread wheat). Its description in RNAcentral is "partial small subunit ribosomal RNA". Lineage: Eukaryota; Viridiplantae; Streptophyta; Magnoliopsida; Poales; Poaceae. The record is from RNAcentral.